Molecule: ribosomal RNA, 400 nt
Filed under: uncultured bacterium
Lineage: Bacteria
Description: bacterial SSU rRNA
Rfam family: Bacterial small subunit ribosomal RNA
Source: RNAcentral
UGGGAAUCUUGCACAAUGGAGGGAACUCUGAUGCAGCGACGCCGCGUGAGUGAAGAAGGUCUUCGGAUCGUAAAACUCUGUCCUUGGUGAAGAAAAGGACGGUAGCCAAGGAGGAAGCCCCGGCUAACUACGUGCCAGCCGCCGCGGUAAUACGUAGGGGGCGAGCGUUGUCCGGAUUUACUGGGCGUAAAGGGUGAGUAGGCGGUUAUAUAUGUCAGGUGUAAAAGGCUAUGGCUUAACCAUGGUUAGCACUUGAAACUGUAUGACUUGAGUGCAGGAGAGGUAAGCGGAAUUCCUAGUGUAGCGGUGAAAUGCGUAGAUAUUAGGAGGAACACCAGUGGCGAAGGCGGCUUACUGGACUGUAACUGACGCUGAGUCACGAAAGCGUGGGUAGCAAACA